CCUACGGGAGGCAGCAGUGGGGAAUAUUGGACAAUGGGCGAAAGCCUGAUCCAGCAAUGCCGCGUGAGUGAUGAAGGCCUUAGGGUUGUAAAGCUCUUUUACCAGGGAUGAUAAUGACAGUACCUGGAGAAUAAGCUCCGGCUAACUCCGUGCCAGCAGCCGCGGUAAUACGGAGGGAGCUAGCGUUGUUCGGAAUUACUGGGCGUAAAGCGUACGUAGGCGGUUAUUCAAGUCAGAGGUGAAAGCCUGGAGCUCAACUCCAGAACUGCCUUUGAAACUAGAUAGCUAGAAUCUUGGAGAGGUGAGUGGAAUUCCGAGUGUAGAGGUGAAAUUCGUAGAUAUUCGGAAGAACACCAGUGGCGAAGGCGACUCACUGGACAAGUAUUGACGCUGAGGUACGAAAGCGUGGGGAGCAAACAGGAUUAGAUACCCUGGUAGUCCACGCCGUAAACGAUGAUAACUAGCUGUUCGGGCUCUACGAGCUUGAGUGGCGCAGACUACGACAUUAAGUUAGUCCGUCCGUCGGGUAGGUACGGUCGCGAGAAGUUAAACGUUAAAGGUAAAGUUAGUUACGGUACGUUGAGACGUUGCCGACGGACGACGACGAGGGAGGAGG
Molecule: ribosomal RNA, 616 nt
Filed under: uncultured bacterium
Lineage: Bacteria
Description: bacterial SSU rRNA
Rfam family: Bacterial small subunit ribosomal RNA (bases 1-520)
Source: RNAcentral